AUGUAUGUGACUCAGUGGUAGAGUGCUUGUCUAGCAUACAUGAGUACCUGGGUUCAAUCCUCAGCACACACU
This 72-nucleotide transfer RNA is filed under the name Ictidomys tridecemlineatus (thirteen-lined ground squirrel). RNAcentral describes it as "Spermophilus tridecemlineatus (thirteen-lined ground squirrel) tRNA". It matches the Rfam family "tRNA". From Rfam's summary of the family: Transfer RNA (tRNA) molecules are approximately 80 nucleotides in length. Their secondary structure includes four short double-helical elements and three loops (D, anti-codon, and T loops). Further hydrogen bonds mediate the characteristic L-shaped molecular structure. tRNAs have two regions of fundamental functional importance: the anti-codon, which is responsible for specific mRNA codon recognition, and the 3' end, to which the tRNAs corresponding amino acid is attached (by aminoacyl-tRNA synthetases). tRNAs cope with the degeneracy of the genetic code in two manners: having more than one tRNA (with a specific anti-codon) for a particular amino acid; and 'wobble' base-pairing, i.e. permitting non-standard base-pairing at the 3rd anti-codon position. Lineage: Eukaryota; Metazoa; Chordata; Mammalia; Rodentia; Sciuridae. The record is from Rfam by way of RNAcentral.